Molecule: non-coding RNA, 69 nt
Organism: Rattus norvegicus (Norway rat)
Lineage: Eukaryota; Metazoa; Chordata; Mammalia; Rodentia; Muridae
Source: Rfam
GGGGAUUUGGCUCAGUGGUAGAGCGCUUACCUAGGAAGCACAAGGUCCUGGGUUCGGUCCCCAGCCCCG